CAUGGCACUGCUGAAACUUCGAA
Molecule: microRNA, 23 nt
Filed under: Pristionchus pacificus
Lineage: Eukaryota; Metazoa; Nematoda; Chromadorea; Rhabditida; Neodiplogasteridae
Description: ppc-miR-2253d-3p
Source: miRBase by way of RNAcentral